GACGAACGCUGGCGGCGUGCCUAAUACAGGCAAGUCGAACGCAGUGGGGACGGGUGAGUAACACGUGGGUAACCUCCCAUCAGAGGGGAUAACACUUGGAAACAGGUGCUAAACCGAUACUGAUGGAUGGACACGCGGUGCAUUAGCUAGUUGGGGAGGUAACGGCUCACCAAGGCCACGAUGCAUAGCUGACCGGAGAGGGUGAUCGGCCACACUGGGCCUGUGACACGGCCCAGACUCCUACGGGAGGCAGCAGUAGGGAAUCUUCGGCAAUGGACGAAAGUCUGACCGAGCAACGCCGCGUGAGUGAAGAAGGUUUUCGGAUCGUAAAACUCUGUUGUUAGAGAAGCGGUAUCUAACCAGAAAGCCACGGCUAACUACGUGCCAGCAGCCGCGGUAAUAC
RNAcentral lists this ribosomal RNA (403 nucleotides) under uncultured bacterium. RNAcentral's name for it is "partial 16S ribosomal RNA". It matches the Rfam family "Bacterial small subunit ribosomal RNA", at positions 28 to 526 of the family's 1533-position model. The record is from RNAcentral.